RNAcentral lists this ribosomal RNA (457 nucleotides) under uncultured bacterium. RNAcentral describes it as "bacterial SSU rRNA". It matches the Rfam family "Bacterial small subunit ribosomal RNA", at positions 33 to 507 of the family's 1533-position model. The record is from RNAcentral.
ACGCUGGCGGCGUGCCUAACACAUGCAAGUCGAACGGGGUAAUCCUUCGGGGUUACUUAGUGGCGAACGGGUGAGUAACGCGUGAGAAACCUGCCUUUCAGUGGGGGACAACAGUUGGAAACGACUGCUAAUACCGCAUAAUGUUAUUUAAGGGCAUCCUUGAAUAACCAAAGCUUUAUGUGCUGAAAGAUGGUCUCGCGUCUGAUUAGCUAGAUGGCGGGGUAACGGCCCACCAUGGCGACGAUCAGUAGCCGGUCUGAGAGGAUGAACGGCCACAUUGGGACUGAGAUACGGCCCAGACUCCUACGGGAGGCAGCAGUGGGGAAUAUUGGGCAAUGGGGGAAACCCUGACCCAGCAACGCCGCGUGAAGGAAGAAGGCCUUCGGGUUGUAAACUUCUUUUACCAGGGACGAACACAAUGACGGUACCUGGAGAAAAAGCAACGGCUAACUACGUG